AGUCGAACGAUGAAGCCCUUCGGGGUGGAUUAGUGGCGAACGGGUGAGUAACACGUGGGCAAUCUGCCCUUCACUCUGGGACAAGCCCUGGAAACGGGGUCUAAUACCGGAUAAUACCUGCCUGGGCAUCUGGGUGGGUUAAAAGCUCCGGCGGUGAAGGAUGAGCCCGCGGCCUAUCAGCUUGUUGGUGAGGUAGUGGCUCACCAAGGCGACGACGGGUAGCCGGCCUGAGAGGGCGACCGGCCACACUGGGACUGAGACACGGCCCAGACUCCUACGGGAGGCAGCAGUGGGGAAUAUUGCACAAUGGGCGAAAGCCUGAUGCAGCGACGCCGCGUGAGGGAUGACGGCCUUCGGGUUGUAAACCUCUUUCAGCAGGGAAGAAGCGAAAGUGACGGUACCUGCAGAAGAAGCGCCGGCUAACUACGUGCCAGCAGCCGCGGUAAUACGUAGGGCGCAAGCGUUGUCCGGAAUUAUUGGGCGUAAAGAGCUCGUAGGCGGCUUGUCACGUCGGUUGUGAAAGCCCGGGGCUUAACCCCGGGUCUGCAGUCGAUACGGGCAGGCUAGAGUGUGGUAGGGGAGAUCGGAAUUCCUGGUGUAACGGUGAAAUGCGCAGAUAUCAGGAGGAACACCGGUGGCGAAGGCGGAUCUCUGGGCCAUUACUGACGCUGAGGAGCGAAAGCGUGGGGAGCGAACAGGAUUAGAUACCCUGGUAGUCCACGCCGUAAACGGUGGGAACUAGGUGUUGGCGACAUUCCACGUCGUCGGUGCCGCAGCUAACGCAUUAAGUUCCCCGCCUGGGGAGUACGGCCGCAAGGCUAAAACUCAAAGGAAUUGACGGGGGCCCGCACAAGCAGCGGAGCAUGUGGCUUAAUUCGACGCAACGCGAAGAACCUUACCAAGGCUUGACAUCGCCCGGAAAGCAUCAGAGAUGGUGCCCCCCUUGUGGUCGGGUGACAGGUGGUGCAUGGCUGUCGUCAGCUCGUGUCGUGAGAUGUUGGGUUAAGUCCCGCAACGAGCGCAACCCUUGUUCUGUGUUGCCAGCAUGCCCUUCGGGGUGAUGGGGACUCACAGGAGACUGCCGGGGUCAACUCGGAGGAAGGUGGGGACGACGUCAAGUCAUCAUGCCCCUUAUGUCUUGGGCUGCACACGUGCUACAAUGGCAGGUACAAUGAGCUGCGAUGCCGCGAGGCGGAGCGAAUCUCAAAAAGCCUGUCUCAGUUCGGAUUGGGGUCUGCAACUCGACCCCAUGAAGUCGGAGUUGCUAGUAAUCGCAGAUCAGCAUUGCUGCGGUGAAUACGUUCCCGGGCCUUGUACACACCGCCCGUCACGUCACGAAAGUCGGUAACACCCGAAGCCGGUGGCCCAACCCCCUUGUGGGGAGGGAGCUGUCGAAGGUGGGACUGGCGAUUG
RNAcentral lists this ribosomal RNA (1413 nucleotides) under Streptomyces phaeochromogenes. RNAcentral describes it as "bacterial SSU rRNA". It matches the Rfam family "Bacterial small subunit ribosomal RNA". Lineage: Bacteria; Bacillati; Actinomycetota; Actinomycetes; Kitasatosporales; Streptomycetaceae. The record is from RNAcentral.